RNAcentral lists this transfer RNA (83 nucleotides) under Geothermobacter hydrogeniphilus. RNAcentral's name for it is "Geothermobacter sp. EPR-M tRNA". It matches the Rfam family "tRNA". From Rfam's summary of the family: Transfer RNA (tRNA) molecules are approximately 80 nucleotides in length. Their secondary structure includes four short double-helical elements and three loops (D, anti-codon, and T loops). Lineage: Bacteria; Pseudomonadati; Thermodesulfobacteriota; Desulfuromonadia; Desulfuromonadales; Geothermobacteraceae. The record is from Rfam by way of RNAcentral.
GCCCGGAUGGUGGAAUUGGUAGACACCGGGGACUUAAAAUCCCCUGGACCUAGUCCGUGCCGGUUCGAGUCCGGCUCCGGGUA